GGGGGUGUAGCUCAGCGGGAGAGCACCUGCUUUGCAUGCAGGGGGCCAGGGGUUCGAUCCCCCUCACCUCCACCA
RNAcentral lists this transfer RNA (75 nucleotides) under SAR202 cluster bacterium Casp-Chloro-G2. RNAcentral's name for it is "tRNA-Ala". It matches the Rfam family "tRNA". From Rfam's summary of the family: Transfer RNA (tRNA) molecules are approximately 80 nucleotides in length. Their secondary structure includes four short double-helical elements and three loops (D, anti-codon, and T loops). Further hydrogen bonds mediate the characteristic L-shaped molecular structure. tRNAs have two regions of fundamental functional importance: the anti-codon, which is responsible for specific mRNA codon recognition, and the 3' end, to which the tRNAs corresponding amino acid is attached (by aminoacyl-tRNA synthetases). tRNAs cope with the degeneracy of the genetic code in two manners: having more than one tRNA (with a specific anti-codon) for a particular amino acid; and 'wobble' base-pairing, i.e. permitting non-standard base-pairing at the 3rd anti-codon position. The record is from RNAcentral. RNAcentral also lists the same sequence under 1 other name. Lineage: Bacteria; Bacillati; Chloroflexota; Dehalococcoidia.